RNAcentral lists this ribosomal RNA (301 nucleotides) under uncultured bacterium. RNAcentral's name for it is "partial 16S ribosomal RNA". It matches the Rfam family "Bacterial small subunit ribosomal RNA", at positions 509 to 807 of the family's 1533-position model. The record is from RNAcentral.
CAGCAGCCGCGGUAAUGCGGAGGGUGCAAGCGUUAACCGGAAUUACUGGGCGUAAAGCGUACGCAGACGGUCUGUUAAGUCAGAUGUGAAAUCCCCGGGCUUAACCCGGGAACUGCAUUUGAAACUGGCAGGCUAGAGUCUCGUAGAGGGGGGUAGAAUUCCAGGUGUAGCGGUGAAAUGCGUAGAGAUCUGGAGGAAUACCGGUGGCGAAGGCGGCCCCCUGGACGAAGACUGACGCUCAGGUACGAAAGCGUGGGGAGCAAACAGGAUUAGAUACCCGCGUAGUCCCUGUCUCUUAUAC